AUUGAACGCUGGCGGCAGGCCUAACACAUGCAAGUCGAGCGAGCGGCGGACGGGUGAGUAAUGUAUGGGGAUCUGCCCGAUAGAGGGGGAUAACUACUGGAAACGGUAGCUAAUACCGCAUACCCUCAGAUGUACCCAUAUGGGAUUAGCUAGUAGGUGGGGUAAAGGCUCACCUAGGCGACGAUCUCUAGCUGGUCUGAGAGGAUGAUCAGCCACAAUGGGACUGAGACACGGCCCAGACUCCUACGGGAGGCAGCAGUGGGGAAUAUGGCACAAUGGGCGCAAGCCUGAUGCAGCCAUGCCGCGUGUAUGAAGAAGGCCUUAGGGUUGUAAAGUACUUUCAGCGGGGAGGCGUUACCCGCAGAAGAAGCACCGGCUAACUCCGUGCCAGCAGCGGCGGUAAUUC
Molecule: ribosomal RNA, 406 nt
Filed under: uncultured bacterium
Lineage: Bacteria
Description: partial 16S ribosomal RNA
Rfam family: Bacterial small subunit ribosomal RNA
Source: RNAcentral